UCCUGGCUCAGGACGAACGCUGGCGGCGUGCCUAAUACAUGCAAGUAGAACGCUGAGGACUGGUGCUUGCACUGGUCUAAGGAGUUGCGAACGGGUGAGUAACGCGUAGGUAACCUACCUCAUAGCGGGGGAUAACUAUUGGAAACGAUAGCUAAUACCGCAUGACAAUAGGGUACACAUGUACCCUAUUUAAAAGGGGCAAAUGCUUCACUAUGAGAUGGACCUGCGUUGUAUUAGCUAGUUGGUAAGGUAACGGCUUACCAAGGCGACGAUACAUAGCCGACCUGAGAGGGUGAUCGGCCACACUGGGACUGAGACACGGCCCAGACUCCUACGGGAGGCAGCAGUAGGGAAUCUUCGGCAAUGGGGGGAACCCUGACCGAGCAACGCCGCGUGAGUGAAGAAG
This 406-nucleotide ribosomal RNA is filed under the name Streptococcus uberis. Its description in RNAcentral is "bacterial SSU rRNA". It matches the Rfam family "Bacterial small subunit ribosomal RNA", at positions 17 to 413 of the family's 1533-position model. The record is from RNAcentral. Lineage: Bacteria; Bacillati; Bacillota; Bacilli; Lactobacillales; Streptococcaceae.